Molecule: non-coding RNA, 188 nt
Organism: Acinetobacter baumannii AB056
Lineage: Bacteria; Pseudomonadati; Pseudomonadota; Gammaproteobacteria; Moraxellales; Moraxellaceae
Source: Rfam
UUUAACGUGAAGUAACACUAAUUAACGUGAAGCUUAAUGAACAAAUAAGAAUGCAUCACUAAUAUAACUUGAGUAGGUUGAUAUGAACCUCACGACAUUUCUCCUUAAGCCGAAACUGUUUUUAACAGAUUCGUUGUUCUACGCAGUGAUCACCCCAAUCAUUGCGUAUUUUUUUGUCUAUAAUAAUG